This 265-nucleotide ribosomal RNA is filed under the name uncultured prokaryote. RNAcentral's name for it is "partial 16S ribosomal RNA". It matches the Rfam family "Bacterial small subunit ribosomal RNA", at positions 524 to 788 of the family's 1533-position model. The record is from RNAcentral.
UACGGAGGAUCCGAGCGUUAUCCGGGUUUAUUGGGUUUAAAGGGUGCGUAGGCGGAAAUGUAAGUCAGUGGUGAAAUCCUGCAGCUUAACUGUAGAAUAGCCGUUGAAACUGUGUUUCUUGAGUACAUUUGAGGUAGGCGGAAUGUGGUGUGUAGCGGUGAAAUGCAUAGAUAUACCACAGAACGCCGAUUGCGAAGGCAGCUUACUAAGCUGUUACUGACGCUGAGGCACGAAAGCGUGGGGAUCAAACAGGAUUAGAUACCCU